CACUUUUCUAUUUGGUGCUUGUAGACGUUAUGGGAAAGUUGUCUCUCUCCCUACAUCUCUCUCCCUCUCCCCAUCCCUCCCUCCCUCCUCCUCCUCCUCCUCCUUCUCUUCUUCGUCUAUCAUGUGCUUGGGAUAUGCCCAUGCUUUGCACAGAGCAGCCGAAGCACGUCUAAUGCAGGCUACUGAGUGUUAGCGGCAAUUUUAAAGUGAUGCCUCCCCACCAAAUAAUACGGCUGGGAUAUUUGAGGGGAACAUAUACCACAUCACGGUACACACGGACCCAACUGAACACCGCUGUGCUUCUCCUGCUUGGGACGCUUUCUGCUCGAUUUGACUCAUCUUUAGGAAUGAUGGAGAAAAGGAGCUGUGGAGAACUGCAGGCAGCAGGAAGUAGAGGUCAACACCAGAUCUCUGGGAUUUUGCUCUCCACUGGACCCACAUGAGGUUGGAUGGAGACCUCGUAGAUCAUGACCCAGAAACAAAUGGCAUAAUGACCCGAGUCUCCAGAAUGAGGACGUCAAGGAAAUUCAGCUGAUCUCACAGGUAGAUGAGUUCUUCUAAUCAACUCAAGAGGAGCUUCAAGACGUCCACUCAUGAAUCUCACAAGCUGUAGGAGCUUCACAUUACUCUCUACAACACUUGGACCUGCACUGUACUCUUCAUUUCAGUAUUUCUGUCGACUGGUUAUAUGAGAUUAUUGACCAAACUGGAAAAUGUUGUGACCUUGCACUAAUAUAUAUAUAUAUAUAUAUAUAUAUUUUUUUUUUUUUUUUUUUUAAUAGGAGAAUACUUAAUAGGAAAAUAGGAUGAAAACAUUCUUCACAUUGAAACUUGUAUAUAUUUAAUGUAUUAAAUUGAUAAAUUGAUAUAUUUUUGACAGCUAAAUAAAAGCAUUUCUUUCCUUUAACUGAUGUUCUACUGUGAGUUAUUUCUGUGUAGUGCUUUGGCACUCCAGGUAAAGAACAAUGUGCUUGACAUAAUUGGGUCCUAUUUGGUUAUGAAAAGAGCACGUGUGCUGAUAAAAGCUGGCAGGGUGAUCAAAGCACCAUGCGUCCCGAUCAAAAUCCUGCACCUGACACAGAUGUAGUUUAUCCUGAAAGACUAACGAAAUGUGGGGAAAUAGCUUCAGACAGCACCAAGAAGCCUCCCUGUUUAAAACCAGCUCCAUUUCACAUGUUGUACUGUUUUUGGUGUACUACAGUAUAUCUGUCAAAUCAAA
Molecule: long non-coding RNA, 1219 nt
Organism: Cottoperca gobio
Lineage: Eukaryota; Metazoa; Chordata; Actinopteri; Perciformes; Bovichtidae
Exons: 4
Source: RefSeq, a predicted model, not a curated record